CGCUUGAUAAGCGUGAGGUCGGAAGUUCAAGUCUUCCCAGGCCCACCACUUUCAUCGAGUGUAGGCAUUCGUCUUCUGGUUACGGGGCCAUAGCUCAGCUGGGAGAGCGCGUGCUUUGCAAGCAUGAGGUCGUCGGUUCGAUCCCGUCUGGCUCCACCAGAUGGUUUGAUUGCCGGCGCAGCUUGCACCUAGGUCUCGCACCUAAAUCGUCCGCGAAACAUCACUUCGCACCCACCAGUCCGGAUGGACGGUGAGGUUGCGUGAUUUCUGACAUCGUAAAGAGGAGAUCGAUCCGAGUUGGAUCGUGCAGCAAAUCGUUGCGCGAGCCUUCAUUAUCUCCGGAUCAUUUCGGCGCUCGCUUUCAACCGUGAGGUUGGCGGUGAGUUGCAAAUGAUCCUUUUAGCGAAGCUUGACCGCCUCGCUAUCGGAACGAUCUUACGAAGCAAGCUGGUCUUUCUAGUCAAUGUCCGGCUGCGACAAUCGCGUUCAUCGAGGACGCGUGCCUUCAAUGGCAGUUGCGCAGACAACAUUCUGCCGAGUGUGUGGACAUUGAUAAUGAGAGCAAUCAAGUGCCUUAAGGGUGUUCGGUGGAUGCCUUGGCGCUGAGAGGCGAUGAAGGACGUGCUACGCUGCGAUAAGCCGUGGGGGAGCUGCGAAGAAGCUUUG
RNAcentral lists this unclassified non-coding RNA (666 nucleotides) under Bradyrhizobium sp. Its description in RNAcentral is "partial contains 16S-23S ribosomal RNA intergenic spacer and 23S ribosomal RNA". The stretch from base 84 to 156 matches the Rfam family "tRNA". The record is from RNAcentral. Lineage: Bacteria; Pseudomonadati; Pseudomonadota; Alphaproteobacteria; Hyphomicrobiales; Nitrobacteraceae.